This is a long non-coding RNA of Benincasa hispida (wax gourd), 486 nucleotides long. RefSeq lists it as uncharacterized. The record is from RefSeq and is a predicted model, not a curated record. Lineage: Eukaryota; Viridiplantae; Streptophyta; Magnoliopsida; Cucurbitales; Cucurbitaceae.
CGCGCCACUGUCAUCUUCGCCGUCGACCGAGACCGCGUUUGCCAGCAACCGUUCUUUCCUGUCCGCUUUCGUUUGUUCCGUGGUGAACCCCAGCUGUGCCUAGACCUGUCCGUCGACCUGAAGCCACCGUCGAUCGAGACCAGCUGCGCCCAGACCUGUCCGUCGACCCGAAGUAGCGAUCGACGAAUCGAAGCCACAUCCUUCUCCCCGGGCCAAUGUCCUCCCCGUCCGCCAGCCGCUGGCCUAAGCCCAAGUCUUAUCCGUCAGUCUUGGCGCGGCUAGUUCUAGUUGCCGUCGAAUCUCGGUUGUUUCGUCCGAUCUUUCUGUUUGGGGGAACUUGUGGUGGUGAAGGAAGUUUCCAAGCAGAGUGAAUGUUCGUUUUGGGACAGUUCGAUAUCCCUAGGUAAGGGUAACAAUAGACCGACGCAUGACAAGAGAGAUCCGUGACCUGGACAUUUGGACGAUUUACUGCUUUCGCACUUAGGU